ACAACAAAUCACAGCCUACC
Molecule: microRNA, 20 nt
Filed under: Ophiophagus hannah (king cobra)
Lineage: Eukaryota; Metazoa; Chordata; Lepidosauria; Squamata; Elapidae
Description: oha-miR-7-3-3p
Gene: oha-miR-7-3-3p
Source: miRBase by way of RNAcentral